GGGUUGUGAGGUUAAGCGACUAAGCGUACACGGUGGAUGCCCUGGCAGUCAGAGGCGAUGAAGGACGUGCUAAUCUGCGAUAAGCGUCGGUAAGGUGAUAUGAACCGUUAUAACCGGCGAUUUCCGAAUGGGGAAACCCAGUGUGAUUCGUCACACUAUCAUUAACUGAAUCCAUAGGUUAAUGAGGCGAACCGGGGGAACUGAAACAUCUAAGUACCCCGAGGAAAAGAAAUCAACCGAGAUUCCCCCAGUAGCGGCGAGCGAACGGGGAGCAGCCCAGAGCCUGAAUCAGUGUGUGUGUUAGUGGAAGCGUCUGGAAAGGCGCGCGAUACAGGGUGACAGCCCCGUACACAAAAAUGCACAUACUGUGAGCUCGAUGAGUAGGGCGGGACACGUGGUAUCCUGUCUGAAUAUGGGGGGACCAUCCUCCAAGGCUAAAUACUCCUGACUGACCGAUAGUGAACCAGUACCGUGAGGGAAAGGCGAAAAGAACCCCGGCGAGGGGAGUGAAAAAGAACCUGAAACCGUGUACGUACAAGCAGUGGGAGCACGCUUAGGCGUGUGACUGCGUACCUUUUGUAUAAUGGGUCAGCGACUUAUAUUCUGUAGCAAGGUUAACCGAAUAGGGGAGCCGAAGGGAAACCGAGUCUUAACUGGGCGUUAAGUUGCAGGGUAUAGACCCGAAACCCGGUGAUCUAGCCAUGGGCAGGUUGAAGGUUGGGUAACACUAACUGGAGGACCGAACCGACUAAUGUUGAAAAAUUAGCGGAUGACUUGUGGCUGGGGGUGAAAGGCCAAUCAAACCGGGAGAUAGCUGGUUCUCCCCGAAAGCUAUUUAGGUAGCGCCUCGUGAAUUCAUCUCCGGGGGUAGAGCACUGUUUCGGCAAGGGGGUCAUCCCGACUUACCAACCCGAUGCAAACUGCGAAUACCGGAGAAUGUUAUCACGGGAGACACACGGCGGGUGCUAACGUCCGUCGUGAAGAGGGAAACAACCCAGACCGCCAGCUAAGGUCCCAAAGUCAUGGUUAAGUGGGAAACGAUGUGGGAAGGCCCAGACAGCCAGGAUGUUGGCUUAGAAGCAGCCAUCAUUUAAAGAAAGCGUAAUAGCUCACUGGUCGAGUCGGCCUGCGCGGAAGAUGUAACGGGGCUAAACCAUGCACCGAAGCUGCGGCAGCGACACUGUGUGUUGUUGGGUAGGGGAGCGUUCUGUAAGCCUGCGAAGGUGUGCUGUGAGGCAUGCUGGAGGUAUCAGAAGUGCGAAUGCUGACAUAAGUAACGAUAAAGCGGGUGAAAAGCCCGCUCGCCGGAAGACCAAGGGUUCCUGUCCAACGUUAAUCGGGGCAGGGUGAGUCGACCCCUAAGGCGAGGCCGAAAGGCGUAGUCGAUGGGAAACAGGUUAAUAUUCCUGUACUUGGUGUUACUGCGAAGGGGGGACGGAGAAGGCUAUGUUGGCCGGGCGACGGUUGUCCCGGUUUAAGCGUGUAGGCUGGUUUUCCAGGCAAAUCCGGAAAAUCAAGGCUGAGGCGUGAUGACGAGGCACUACGGUGCUGAAGCAACAAAUGCCCUGCUUCCAGGAAAAGCCUCUAAGCAUCAGGUAACAUCAAAUCGUACCCCAAACCGACACAGGUGGUCAGGUAGAGAAUACCAAGGCGCUUGAGAGAACUCGGGUGAAGGAACUAGGCAAAAUGGUGCCGUAACUUCGGGAGAAGGCACGCUGAUAUGUAGGUGAAGUCCCUCGCGGAUGGAGCUGAAAUCAGUCGAAGAUACCAGCUGGCUGCAACUGUUUAUUAAAAACACAGCACUGUGCAAACACGAAAGUGGACGUAUACGGUGUGACGCCUGCCCGGUGCCGGAAGGUUAAUUGAUGGGGUCAGCGCAAGCGAAGCUCUUGAUCGAAGCCCCGGUAAACGGCGGCCGUAACUAUAACGGUCCUAAGGUAGCGAAAUUCCUUGUCGGGUAAGUUCCGACCUGCACGAAUGGCGUAAUGAUGGCCAGGCUGUCUCCACCCGAGACUCAGUGAAAUUGAACUCGCUGUGAAGAUGCAGUGUACCCGCGGCAAGACGGAAAGACCCCGUGAACCUUUACUAUAGCUUGACACUGAACAUUGAGCCUUGAUGUGUAGGAUAGGUGGGAGGCUUUGAAGUGUGGACGCCAGUCUGCAUGGAGCCGGCCUUGAAAUACCACCCUUUAAUGUUUGAUGUUCUAACGUUGACCCGUGAUCCGGGUUGCGGACAGUGUCUGGUGGGUAGUUUGACUGGGGCGGUCUCCUCCUAAAGAGUAACGGAGGAGCACGAAGGUUGGCUAAUCCUGGUCGGACAUCAGGAGGUUAGUGCAAUGGCAUAAGCCAGCUUGACUGCGAGCGUGACGGCGCGAGCAGGUGCGAAAGCAGGUCAUAGUGAUCCGGUGGUUCUGAAUGGAAGGGCCAUCGCUCAACGGAUAAAAGGUACUCCGGGGAUAACAGGCUGAUACCGCCCAAGAGUUCAUAUCGACGGCGGUGUUUGGCACCUCGAUGUCGGCUCAUCACAUCCUGGGGCUGAAGUAGGUCCCAAGGGUAUGGCUGUUCGCCAUUUAAAGUGGUACGCGAGCUGGGUUUAGAACGUCGUGAGACAGUUCGGUCCCUAUCUGCCGUGGGCGCUGGAGAACUGAGGGGGGCUGCUCCUAGUACGAGAGGACCGGAGUGGACGCAUCACUGGUGUUCGGGUUGUCAUGCCAAUGGCACUGCCCGGUAGCUAAAUGCGGAAGAGAUAAGUGCUGAAAGCAUCUAAGCACGAAACUUGCCCCGAGAUGAGUUCUCCCUGACUCCUUGAGAGUCCUGAAGGAACGUUGAAGACGACGACGUUGAUAGGCCGGGUGUGUAAGCGCAGCGAUGCGUUGAGCUAACCGGUACUAAUGAACCGUGAGGCUUAACCUUACAACGCCGAAGCUGUU
This 2929-nucleotide ribosomal RNA is filed under the name Escherichia coli. Its description in RNAcentral is "bacterial LSU rRNA". It matches the Rfam family "Bacterial large subunit ribosomal RNA". Lineage: Bacteria; Pseudomonadati; Pseudomonadota; Gammaproteobacteria; Enterobacterales; Enterobacteriaceae. The record is from RNAcentral.